GAAGCAAAAGGUUUCAAUAUCUUGUUAUGAUAUGUGUUUGCGGAUCACUUUUUUCGCCACCGAACAGCAGCGGAGAGAGGGGGGAAUGAGGAGGAGAAAGGCAUGCUCCGCGGGGCACUUCCUGCCCCAUUCUUUUACACUUUAUCAACCCACGGGUGCCAUUAGCCAGUUUUCGUGUGGCGAGAAUACAAUUUGAUUGCC
Caenorhabditis elegans is the source of this 201-nucleotide non-coding RNA. The record is from Ensembl. NCBI's taxonomy places the organism in Eukaryota, Metazoa, Nematoda, Chromadorea, Rhabditida, Rhabditidae.